Molecule: transfer RNA, 69 nt
Filed under: Serratella sp. Yunnan-2018
Lineage: Eukaryota; Metazoa; Arthropoda; Insecta; Ephemeroptera; Ephemerellidae
Also listed under: 1 other name
Description: tRNA-Ser
Rfam family: tRNA
About the family: Transfer RNA (tRNA) molecules are approximately 80 nucleotides in length. Their secondary structure includes four short double-helical elements and three loops (D, anti-codon, and T loops).
Source: RNAcentral
GGCUAAGCAAUUAUCGGAUAAUGUUUGUUUUGAAAGCAUAUUGAAGGAGUUCGACUCUCCUCUUGGUCU